AUGUAAGUUUUUGCGUGUAUAGUUAUAAAUUUAAAUAGUUUAUGAUUUUUAUAAUAACCUCAGUAAAUAGAAUUAUUAAUUAAGUAACCUUAGAAAUAGUAAUAUUAUUUAGUAUUGGCUAAAUUUGUGCCAGCAGCCGCGGUUACACGAAUAAUACAAGUGAAUUUUAUCGGUUUAAGUUAAGUUAAAUUUUAUAAAAUUAAUAUGCAUUUAUUAGGUGAAAUUUUAAAUGUUUAUGGUUUUAUUUUUUAAUAGUUGAUUCUUGUAAAUUUUAUAAUUAAACUAGGAUUAGAUACCCUAUUAUUUAAAAUGUAAAUUUUUACCUAGGUAGUAGCAGUUAUGUUCUUGAAACUUAAAAAUUUGGCGGUAUUUUAGUCUAUUCAGAGGAACCUGUCCUGUAAUCGAUAAUCCACGUUUACCUUACUUUAGUUUGUUAUUCAGUUUAUAUACCGUCGUUAUCAGAAUAUUUUAUUAGAAUAAUAAUUUUCAAUAAUUUAUACUUUAAUUUAUAUCAGAUCAAGGUGUAGCUAAUGCUUAAGUAGAGAUGGGUUACAAUAAAUUAAUUUAUAUGGAUUUAAAUAUGAAACUUUUAAUGAAAGUGGAUUUGAUAGUAAAGUUAUAAAUUUUGUUAACUUGAUUUUAGCUCUAAGAUAUGCACACAUCGCCCGUCGCUCUUAUUAUUAAGAUAAGAUAAGUCGUAACAUAGUAGAUGUA
Molecule: ribosomal RNA, 714 nt
Filed under: Prosthiochaeta sp. YSUW04031
Lineage: Eukaryota; Metazoa; Arthropoda; Insecta; Diptera; Platystomatidae
Description: partial 12S ribosomal RNA
Source: RNAcentral